RNAcentral lists this ribosomal RNA (390 nucleotides) under uncultured bacterium. RNAcentral describes it as "bacterial SSU rRNA". It matches the Rfam family "Bacterial small subunit ribosomal RNA", at positions 28 to 419 of the family's 1533-position model. The record is from RNAcentral.
GACGAACGCUGGCGGCGUGCUUAACACAUGCAAGUCGAGCGGUAAGGCCCUUUCGGGGGUACACGAGCGGCGAACGGGUGAGUAACACGUGGGUGACCUGCCCUCAGCUCUGGGAUAAGCCUGGGAAACCGGGUCUAAUACUGGAUAUGACUCCAUGACGCAUGUUGUGGGGUGGAAAGCCUUGUGCGGCUGAGGAUGGGCCCGCGGCCUAUCAGCUUGUUGGUGGGGUGANGGCCUACCAAGGCGACGACGGGUAGCCGGCCUGAGAGGGCGACCGGCCACACUGGGACUGAGGCACGGCCCAGACUCCUACGGGAGGCAGCAGUGGGGAAUCUUGCGCAAUGGGCGAAAGCCUGACGCAGCGACGCCGCGUGAGGGAUGACGGCCUGG